Molecule: ribosomal RNA, 116 nt
Filed under: Pteropus alecto (black flying fox)
Lineage: Eukaryota; Metazoa; Chordata; Mammalia; Chiroptera; Pteropodidae
Source: RNAcentral
GUCUAUGGCCAUGCCACCCCGAACAAGCCCGAUGUCUGAUCUCGGAAGCUAAGCAGGGUCAGGCCUGGUUAGUAUUUAGAUGGGAGACCACCUAGGAAGAUCAGGUGCUGUAAGCA